CCGAUAAAUCGAAGAAAUCGAGCGAGGAAUAUCAAUUCUCGAGGUGGCCUCUGCUGAACGUGGCACGACAUUGAAAAGAAUGUAAAUGCGUUAUGACCGGCCCAGUUUUACGUUCGAUGUCACGAAGCAUUCGUCAACGUGUCUCUGCCUGUGGCUUACAGAUUAUCUUAUAAAUGAAUGAACGGUAGUUCCAGAAAGCGCAUCAUGCGAACUAUAGGCCGUACGUGAUGCGCAGAUCGAGUCGAAUUUCGUGAAGAAAGACUAGCGAUCGACGACAAGGAUCGAAAUCGAUGGGAUUGGCACGUAUCGUUAAAGGCAAGCGGACCACCAAGACCGGCGGGGCAAGUAUCACGGUGUCAAUUAAUGAGUCCCCUGCCCGGGACCAUGGGAUUCUCGAACGUUAUGUGGAACGGUCCCCAAAGAGGUCCCGCGGAGAAGCAAAAGGAGAAGGUCUUAAGGCUCCUACGGUUUUGUCGCGUGAUUCCUGACGAUUCCAGAUUUGGUCUUUUGACGAAAGCCUUGUCGUCAUGCAGUUUCUUUCUACGGCCUGAAUUCUGUUGAAAGCGCGUUAGAAUUGCACGAAAGAGACUAAACAAAUCGCUGCUGUCGAGAUCAGAAGCGCGCAUGAGAGAUGCUAGGUUGAACGAAGACGACUUCAUCUCCGUGGUGGUCCGAUGGAGGAGCAAAAACACCAUUAUGGUAGAA
Camponotus floridanus (Florida carpenter ant) is the source of this 705-nucleotide long non-coding RNA. RefSeq lists it as uncharacterized. NCBI's taxonomy places the organism in Eukaryota, Metazoa, Arthropoda, Insecta, Hymenoptera, Formicidae. The transcript is spliced from 3 exons. The record is from RefSeq and is a predicted model, not a curated record.